RNAcentral lists this non-coding RNA (45 nucleotides) under Echinostoma caproni. Lineage: Eukaryota; Metazoa; Platyhelminthes; Trematoda; Plagiorchiida; Echinostomatidae. The record is from RNAcentral.
GCAUUGCUGACGAGUCCCAACUAGGCCGAAACAGCUGUCCAGUGU